GAUGAACGCUGGCGGCGUGCUUAACACAUGCAAGUCGAACGGUGAAGGCGGAGCUUGCUCUGCUGGAUCAGUGGCGAACGGGUGAGUAACACGUGAGCAAUCUGCCCCUGACUCUGGGAUAAGCGCUGGAAACGGCGUCUAAUACUGGAUACGAGCUGCGAAGGCAUCUUCAGCAGCUGGAAAGAAUUUCGGUCAGGGAUGAGCUCGCGGCCUAUCAGCUUGUUGGUGAGGUAACGGCUCACCAAGGCGUCGACGGGUAGCCGGCCUGAGAGGGUGACCGGCCACACUGGGACUGAGGCGCGGCCCAGACUGCUACGGGAGGCAGCAGUGGGGAAUAUUGCACAAUGGGCGAAAGCCUGAUGCAGCAACGCCGCGUGAGGGACGACGGCCUUCGGGUUGUAAACCUCUUUUAGCAGGGAAGAAGCGAAAGUGACGGUACCUGCAGAAAAAGCGCCGGCUAACUACGUG
This 468-nucleotide ribosomal RNA is filed under the name uncultured bacterium. Its description in RNAcentral is "partial 16S ribosomal RNA". It matches the Rfam family "Bacterial small subunit ribosomal RNA", at positions 28 to 507 of the family's 1533-position model. The record is from RNAcentral.